This 7130-nucleotide long non-coding RNA is filed under the name Nicotiana benthamiana. RNAcentral describes it as "long non-coding RNA (NBEN_LNC004352)". The record is from RNAcentral. Lineage: Eukaryota; Viridiplantae; Streptophyta; Magnoliopsida; Solanales; Solanaceae.
GACUCCAACCCGGCCGUGAUGGCACCCAGCACACUACUAGGCAAGCCCAACCAUUUAUAAAAAUAACCCCAUUAAUUUAACAGAUGAAGAUAAGUACCAUUUAAAUUAAAAGUCUUAAAUACUGAUAAUAGUGCUGAAAUCUAACAAAAUACCAAUACAACCUAACUAAGACCUGGUGUCACGAACAUGAGCCUCUAAAUAACGAGUAAAAUCCUACUACAAAUUCUAUCUAAAAGUGAUAAAUAUGAAAUAAAGGAUAAGGAUAGAGGGGAGAAUCAUCGGCGUCGAAUGCCCUUCAGCUACCUCUCAAAUACUCCCGGAAUAAGAACUCUGGAUUAGCUGGAUCUACUCAGCCUGAGGCUAACCUGGAUCUGCAAGAAAGGUGCAGGGAGUAAAGUGAGUACUCUGACCCAGUGAGUAAUAAACAUAACUACAAUCUGAAAGUAAGAAAAUGCAGAAAAUCCACAAAGUAAUAUAUGUCUAUUAGUUUAUAUCCAAAACAGUGGAAACAGUAAACAACGAGUAAUACAGUCAAGAAAUAUUGCAUCAAAGAAAGAAACACAUAUAACGAUACACUCUAGUACCCACUGCGGCGUGUAACUCGCUCCACUUAUUUAAUGUCGACGACGCUCACUGGGGGUAUGUACAGACUCCGGAGGGGCUCCUACAGCCCAAGCGCAAUAUUAGCCAGGUAUUGGCAUAAAACAGGCUCUUGACCUCAAUAUCAAUAUAUAUAAUCGCUGCGGCGUGCAACCUGAUCCAUAUCAAGCAAAAAUCCUCACUACCGGGACCACGACCCAUCUCAGUCAAAUAAGUCCAUAGCCAAUCGAGCGUGACAUACUAUAGGGAUCUCAGCCCUCACAUCCUUUUUCAUUUAAUGUUCAUGUAUAAAAUACAGUUAUUAUUUUGUUUUUAACAAUUGAAAACAUGACUGAGUAUACAUGUGACGCACACAAGUGAAGCAAAACACAUAAGGAUCCCCUAAGGAUUCUACAGGUUGGCACAAGACCCCAAACAAGACAAUAAGCCCAAUUCACAAUGAUAAAGUAUGCAUCUCAAUUGCCAAUAUAGUAGAAAUCAACACUCGAGAUGGACUAAGUCACAAUCCCCAAUAGUAGAUGACCCCACACCUAUCGUGGAAUGCGUGUCACGCCUCAAUAUAGCGUUAUGAUGUGAAAGUCUGGGGUUUCAAACCCUCAAAGCAGCAUUUACAUCAAUUGCUCACCUCUAGACAGUCGUUAUGGAUUCAAAUGUAGCCGAUUGUGAUGAUUCAGACUUCACAUUAGUUACAAUAGAGCCAUCAACAUCAUCAGACAUAUGGUUGAUGGACUCAUCUUGUAGCUAUCAUAUGUGCCCCAACAGGGACUGGUUCGUGGAAUUUGAAGAAGAAGAAUAUGGAGUCAUCCACACAACGGAUAAUAGCCCUCUUACCUCAUAUGGAAUUGGUUCAAUACGAUUAAGGAACCGUAAUGGAAUGAUCAAAACAUUAACAGAUGUUCGAUAUGUACCGCAUUUGAAGAAGAAUCUCAUCUCUUUGGGAGCCCUAGAAUCAAAAGGGUUCAAAAUUAUUGCAGAAAAUGGAGUGAUUAGAGUAUGCUCUGGUGCACUAGUGGUAAUGAAGGCUAAUCGGAAGAAUAAUAACAUGUACCGCUAUCGUGGUAGUACAUUGGGACAACGGCAGAAACAUCUAGUGACGACAAAGAGGCAGGAGCAACCAGACUAUGGCACAUGUGUUUGGGUCAUGCUGGAGGAAAAUCCUUGAAGACUCUAUAAGAUCAAGGAUUGUUGAAAGGAGUAAAGACUUGCAACUUGGAGUUUUGCGAGCAUUGUGUCAANNNNNNNNNNNNNNNNNNNNNNNNNNNNNNNNNNNNNNNNNNNNNNNNNNNNNNNNNNNNNNNNNNNNNNNNNNNNNNNNNNNNNNNNNNNNNNNNNNNNNNNNNNNNNNNNNNNNNNNAGGCAUCUUGGAUUAUGUACACUCUAAUAUUUGGGGUCCUUCCAAAACACCUUCAUUGGGUGGGAAGCACUAUUUUGUAACAUUUGUUGAUGAUUUUUUCCGAAGAUUAUGGGUGUAUACAAUGAAAUGCAAAUAUGAAGUGUUGGGAGUUUUUCUCAAAUGAAAGACGAUGGUGGAGAGUCAAACAGGCAGGAGGAUCAAGUGUAUUCGCACAGAUAAUGGAGGUGAAUACAAAAAUGAUCAUUUCAAAUGGUCUGUGAAAAUGAUGGCAUCGUCCGACGAUUCACUGUCAAACAUACACCACAAUAGUAUGGAGUGGCAGAACGCACAAACCGGACCUUGCUAGAGAAGGUAUGGUGUAUGUUGUCCAAUGCUGGAGGUCUGUAAAAAUGAUGGCAUCGUCCGACACUUCGCUGUCAAACAUACACCACAAUAGUAUGGAGUGGCAGAAUGCACAAACCGGACCUUGCUGGAGAAGGUAUGGUGUAUGUUGUCCAAUUCUGGCUUGGGAAAAGAAUUUUGGGCUGAGGCAACUACAUAUGCAUGCCACGUCAUUAAUCGAUUACCAUCUACUGCUAUUGAUGGUAAGACACUAUUUGAAAAAUGGUAUGGAAAGCCUGUUGUAGAUUAUGACUCUUUUCACAUGUUUGGCUCAACUGCAUAUUAUCAUGUGACGGAGUGAAAAAUGGAUCCAAGGGCAAAGAACACUAUUUUUAUUGGGAUUGCUUCUGGAGUCAAAGGAUAUCGAUUAUGGUGUCCUAUGACAAAGAGAGUAAUAUUCAGCAGAGAUGUUACCUUCGAUGAAUCUGUAUGGUAAGUAAAGUAACAAGUGGAUAUACCAAACAAUAUAAUGGUGCUUCUAAGCAGGUGGAGUUUGAAGGAAAAUUUAUUUUUCCUACACAAGAAGCAGAUGAGAAAACAAAUGAAGAUUAUUCUCUAGAAGGAGAGCCGGUAGAGGAUAUUCCAACUCAGGAACCUCAACAACAACUUGAAUCAAUAGCAACUAGCAGGCCAAAAAGGACAGUAACAAAACAUGUUCGCCUCAUAGAGAUAGUUGCUUGUACGACCGCAAUUGUAGCUAAUAAUGUUUCUACCACUUAUAAAGACACAGUCCAAAGUUCAGAAGAAGAUAAGUGGAGGAUUGUCAUGAAUAAUGAAAUACAAUCCCUUCAUUAGAAUCAUACAUGGAUAUUGGCCAAUCUCUCAAAGGCAAAAAAAGCAAUUGGGUGCAAAUGGGUAUUUGCAAAGAAGGAAGGAUUUCCUAACCAAGUAGACGUUCGCUACAAAGCAAGAUUGGUGGCCAAAGGAUAUGCUCAAAAGGAGAGAAUUGACUAUAAUAAAUUGUUUUCUACAGCUGUAAAACAUCCUUCCAUUCGAAUUAUGUUGGCUUUGGUAGCACACUUGGAUUUAGAACUAGCUCAGAUGGAUGUUAAAACUGCGUUAUUACAUGGAAACAUGGAGGAAGAAAUAUAUGACUCAGCCAGAAGGAUUCAAAGUUGUUGGAAAAGAAAAUAUAGUGUGCAAACUUGAAAAAUCGUUAUACGGUUUGAAACAAUCUUCUAGACAAUGCUACAAGUGAUUUGACAAAUUUAUGUUGCAGCAAGGAUACAAGAGAAGCAAAUACGAUCAUUGUGUGUAUUUGCGCAAGCUUAAAGAUGGUUCCUUUAUAUAUCUUCUCCUAUAUGUUGAUGAUAUGUUGAUAGCUUCUAAGAAUUUAAAAGAAAUUGAUAAGUUGAAGAUUCAACUGAAGAAGGAGUUCGAAAUGAAGGAUUUGGGUGAGGCAAAGAAAAUUCUUGGCAUGGAGAUAAUAAGAGAUAGACGCUCAAAGAAACUAUGUUUAUCUUAAAAGGAAUAUAUGAAGAGAGUACUACAACGUUUUGGCAUAGAUGACAAGACUAAGCCAGUUAGUACUCCACUUGCUCCCUAUUUUAAGCUUAGUACUACUAUAUCAUCAAAGGAUGAAGCUGGACAAGAGUAUAUGUUAAAGGCACCAUAUGCAAAUGUUGUUGGUAGCUUGAUGUAUGCAAUGAUCUGUACGAGACCUGACAUUUUACAAGCUAUUGGAGUUAUUAUCAGAUAUAUGCAUAAUCUAGGCAAGGAGCAUUGGCAAGCUGUGAAGUGGAUUCUAUGGUAUAUUCAUAAUACUGUAGAUGCUGGGUUAGUUUUUUAGCAAGAAGAGAAUCAUUCUAUAGUUGGAUAUUGUGACUCAGAUUUUGCAGGUGAUCUCGACAAACGAAGAUCAAUUACUGGUUAUGUGUUUACUUUUGCAAAGGCACCAGUUAGUUGGAAGUCUACUUUGCAGUCAACGGUUGCUUUGUCUACAAUAGAGGCAGAGUACAUGGCUAUUACAGAGGUUGUAAAUGAGGCAAUUUGGCUUCAAGGAUUGCUAAAAGAGCUUGGUGCAUUGCUUUGUCUACAACAGAGGCAGAGUACAUGGCUAUUACAGAUACUAUGAAGGAGGCACUUUGGCUUCAAGGAUUGCCAAAGGAGCUUGGUAUCGAACAAAAAUGUAUCACAAUUUUUUGUGAUAGUCAAAGUGUUAUUCAAUUAGUGAAGAACCAAGCUUAUCAUGCAUGGACGAAGAACAUUGAUGUUCGGUAUCAUUUCGUACGAGAAAUCAUAGAAGAAGGUGGAGUCACGUUGAAGAAAAUUCAUACUACAGAGAAUCCUGCUGAUAUGCUAACAAAAGUGGUGAUUGCGAUCAAGUUUCAACAUUGUUGGGUUUGAUCAACAUUGUUAAACACUGAAGAUUGAAGAUGAUGACUCAACAACUGUGAUGAAGUUUCAAACGUUUGACUUUGAUCAACAUUUUUGAACACUGAAGAUUGAAGAUGAAAACACAACCAAAAUUUGUUAUAGAGAGAAAAUUAAAGAUGUGAAAUUUUUUCCAAGGGAGAUUUGUUGAAUUUGGCAAAAGCCUAGUCCCACAUCGGUUGGGAAUUUGAUUUGGGGACCCCCCAAUAAAAGAAGGCAUAAUGUUUAGGAUUUAAACACAGCUCUUAUUUGCCUUCUCAUUUGUUCAGGCAUUUGUAUCUUCUCUCUUUAGUAUUAUUUCACUUGUAUUUUUGGAGUGGAAUAAAAUAUUGGUUGUGUCCGAGGAGUAGGCAAAGCUGGUCGAACCUCGUAAAUUCUGGUGUUUCUUCUGUUGUUGCUUUAUUGUCUUAUUCAUUAUUUAGUGGUUGUCAUAUUUUUUUGGUGUAUCGAACCUCGUAAAUUCUGGUGUUUCUUUUGUUGUUGCUUUAUUGUCUUAUUCAUUAUUUAGUGGUUGUCAUAUUUUUUUGGUGUAGUAGUUCUGUCUCAUUCAAACUAUAUACAUUCAGCUUCCGCAACACAAAUAAAUGGAAACAACUUGCUCUCUUAAUUUAUUUGAAUUAACUAUAUAUUAGCCUUACUGGUAUAUCCUCUUAUAAACUUUCCCACUUUCAUUCGUUGUAACAAUUAUCUUAAGUAUAAACUUUAACUUAUUUUUUGGUAUGGGGUAUUAACUGAACUUAUAAUGCCAUUCAAAAUUACUCUCUUCAUUCUCAAAUUGGGUCUUCCAAAUUUUGGGCUUGAAAGUAGUGGGAUUAAUCUAUAAAGGGUCUUUUAGUGCGCCAAACAGGACUUAGUAACCGUAAGUUGGUUACAGCAAUGGGAUUAUUAGCUGGACUACUUUCCAUUUUUAUACCAGGUUAAUGACCGGACUUCUCCUGCAGUUAUCCAGUCCACAUUUUCAUCGCAAGCAGAUCACCUUUAGCACUAUGAAUACCCUGAGCCACACAGCGGUAUUUUAAUUGCAAAGUGCUGCAUCUAAUUUUUCUAAUAAUUCCAUGGGCAUCCCACCUUGAUCGUCACAAAUCCUACACGCUAAGAAUUCAAUCGUCCAACUAAAAGGACUUACAAGAAAACACGUAUAGCAGAAGAAGGAAUAGAAAUCUAGCCAAAAAAGAGUGGGGGAGGGGAGGGGAGGAGAGAAUGAAGAAUUAUAGCAACGGCAUUUGGAUAAAAUUCUGAAAAAUAAAGGAAAAAUAUAGAAAAUGAACAAUUUGCAGAAAGAGAUCAUAGCAAAAAUGGUGAAACUAUCGCAAAGCGCAUCCAAGAGAAGAAGAAAGAGAGUUAGAAAAGUAUGAUUAUAAAUCAUAAGACAUUAAGAAAUAAAGGAUUGCUGAUGAGAAGUUACUGGAAAAUUGGAAAAAACCGAAUUAUAGAAAAUUUAAUCAGAUAUUUAAAAGUAGAGAUUGCCAAUGUGUGACAGUGGAGGGAGAUCGUCAUCAUAGAGGGUAGAUGGAGGCAGGCAGACCAUCAUUAGUAUCAAUGCAGGGUCUUUUUUGUGGGUGGUGGUGGACUUCAAGGGGGUCGUUGUCAUUGAGGGGCUAGGACAUGAGUACGGACACUUGGGAAGGGGAUAAGGGUAGAUGAGAAAAGGUCUGAGCAUUUUGCAGAAUGUUAUUUAUUAAUGAUCCUGGAGGGACACGUAUUACAUUUCUCUAUACUGUGUCAAUGAGUUAUGUUGUCCCGUGUAUACUAGAGUUUUGAAAAUUAUCAGCAAGCAGUCGUGUCCAUAUGGCUUGCUGCUGAUGCAGUUGUAGUUUUCUGAACAGGUAAGUAAUUGAAUCAAAAUCUCAUUUAAUGAUCACGUUAACUUUUGAAAUCUCAUUUAAUGGCGUAAACUUUUGAUAAGUGGUAUCUGAGCAUUUUGCAGAAUGUUAUCUAUUCAUGAUCCACCAUUUUCCUUAGCUCAUACAAACUAGGCAAAUUGCCUUUGAUUUUUACUCAAAUAAAUGAAAAUGGUACUUUGAAUGGUUAGGAUGAAUAACGACCACUGAAACCAACUAGGGAAAGGUGUGUUCUGAUGUCUGGUUCUGACUGGAUGAUAAACGUUUUUUGCCCAAUACUUGCUUGUCAUUUGAAGGAAUUGUAUAGUCUCAACUUGAAUGCUAGGCAUCCUUGAGCAGCUUUAAUAUAAUGCAUUUGAGAACUACUAGAGGUUACCCAAACUGUUCCCUCCAACUGAUUUCCCUUGGGAACUGCUGCAAAGUUUAGUUAAUUCAAGAGGCAAGAUUUUAAUUGUAUAAGUUAUUUGAAGAAAUCGUUCAACUAACCUCAGACAUAUUACAGAUGCUUGAUGAUUUCGUGGAUGUUACCAAAGAUGAGAAGCAAAUGAUGCAUCUGUGGAACUCAUUUGUUAGAAAGCAAA